This 2615-nucleotide long non-coding RNA is filed under the name Homo sapiens (human). RNAcentral describes it as "non-protein coding lnc-ZNF837-1:5". Lineage: Eukaryota; Metazoa; Chordata; Mammalia; Primates; Hominidae. The record is from RNAcentral.
GGCGGUUUGCGGCAGUGGGAUCAUUGGGCGGUGGGCGGUGUGGAGGAGUCUCCGCUGGUCCGCAGAAACGAACGAAGGCGCGAGAAUCGGGAAGUUCUGCCUCAGUGACCUGUACGCGUCCUAGCCGCAGUGAAUGUUGCUGAACCCCGGUGACCUCACAGUGGAGGGGCGGCCCCAUGGGGCCAUCGGACCGCGCCGCGCGGGGGCGUUCGCCAGGGCCUCCGCAGAAGCCCGCCUGUGCCCGCAACCGCCCCGAAAUUCUCUCCCUGGCACCGUGUCCGCUUUACGGAGCCCGGAGCAAGGCUCAGAAAAAUGUCCCAGCCAAAAACAUGGUACAUGCCUGUCAUCAGUCGCUGUUGGUCGUGGCACUGAGGCCCAGAUCAUGCCACCUCCUCUAACAAGUGGCUGAGUGGACACCCCACACAUUCUACCCAAGGGCCGUGAGUGGCCAAGAUCGGGGCUCAGAAGUCUCUGAAUCUUCACAGCUGGUCACGUUCAGCUCGGUCACUUCCUGUAAGAUUCCAGGCACUGCAUGCACUGACAUGGGUGCGUGUGGGCCCACUGGGUCCUGCCUGGGAGCCUUCCCUGAAUGUUCAUUUUUUGCAGGUCUGUGUUUGUCUUGGAGUAAGGAUUAUUCUCGCUUGCUGGGGUCAUGGUGUUUUGGCCUCUCCUGGCCUGGACUCUCAAAAACUCAUCAUCCUUCAUAGGUCUGAAGGCUUCUACAUUCCCACCAGCAGGUGGACCAUAUGAACUCAAAACUAGUUGUGGCAGAGGGACCCUGAAGAGAUCUACCCCUGGUGAAUGCCCCCAGGAGUGGGCUGUUCUCACACCUGGUGCCCAGCCUGUGCCCUCGCAGGUCUUGGUGCCUCCACUCAGCUCAAUUCCAGUUUUCUGGCCAUGCCCCGCUGUGUCCCUUUCUCUCUCCUUAGUGCCUAGCUGUGCAAUGUUUGCCUCUCCUUAACAUGUCCUCAGCUGACCCCAUAUCCUCAGUCCUUGCAACCCUGUUCCUCAGUGACACCUGUGUAUUCUCUCCAGUGGAGACACAGGUGGGACACCCCCAAGCUCAUGGUACAUGCCUGUCAUCAGUACCCCUGGACUGUCAUGGUGGGUCAGUCUGCCCUAGGCUGGACUGACCAACCUGUUCAUUCCCCCACAGGAUUGCCCUUUACAGUUCAUGAGUUCCCCCAACUGGAGUGCAGACAAGAGCACUGAUUGAUGGACCAGGUAGACUUGAAACCAGGAAUAGCACAAAAGUUAUCAAAGAGGCUCAGCCAUGGAGAUUGCAAGCUGGGGAUGGAAGUAUCCCUGGAAUUGAGCUGUUCUCACACCUGGUACCUGAGUUAUACCCCUGGUGUCUGGGUACCAAGGUCACUAGCCUUGCCACUUUUCUAUGUUCCUGAUCCCCUACUAAACAGUCCACCUUUUCGCCUACUUCCCCUGACUCCUGUACCCUGUCCCCUCUUUCUGCCUAGUUUGAAGACACUGGUCAUCCCAUAACAUGUCCUGGGCUAAUACAUAUCCUCAAAUCGUUCUUGAAAAUCUGUUCCUCUUCCCUCCUCCCCCUCCCCCUCCCCCCCCCCCCGCUCUUUCCACGGUCUCCCUCUGAUGCCGAGCCGAAGCUGGACGGUACUGCUGCCAUCUCGGCUCACUGCAACCUCCCUGCCUGAUUCUCUUGCCUCAGCCUGCCGAGUGCCUGCGAUUGCAGGCGCGUGCCGCCACGCCUGACUGGUUUUCGUAUUUUUUUUGGUGGAGACGGGGUUUCGCUGUGUUGGCCGGGCUGGUCUCCAGCUCCUAACCACGAGUGAUCCGCCAGCCUCGGCCUCCCGAGGUGCCGGGAUUGCAGACGGAGUCUCGUUCAUUCAGUGCUCAAUGGUGUCCAGGCUGGAGUGCAGUGGCGUGAUCUCGGCUCGCUACAACCUCCACCUCCCAGCAACCCGCCUUGGCCUCCCAAAGUGCCGAGAUUGCAGCCUCUGCCCGGCGGCCACCCCGUCUGGGAAGUGAGGAGCGUCUCCGCCUGGCCGCCCAUCAUCUGGGAUGUGAGGAGCCCCUCUGCCUGGCUGCCCAGUCUGGAAAGUGAGGAGCGUCUCUGCCCGGCCGCCAUCCCAUCUAGGAAGUGAGGAGCGCCUCUUCCCGGCCGCCAUCACAUCUGGGAAGUGAGGAGCGUCUCUGCCCGGCCGCCCAUCGUCUGAGAUGUGGGGAGCAUCUCUGCCCUGCCGCCCCGUCCGGGAUGUGAGGAGCGUCUCUGCCCGGCCGCCCCGUCUGAGAAGUGAGGAGACCCUCUGCCUGGCAACUGCCCCGUCUGAGAAGUGAGGAGCCCCUCCGCCCGGCAGCCGCCCCGUCUGAGAAGUGAGGAGCCCCUCCGCCCAGCAGCCACCCCGUCUGGGAAGUGAGGAGCAUCUCCGCCCGGCAGCCGCCCCGUCUGAGAAGUGAGGAGCCUCUCCGCCCAGCAGCCACCUCGUCCGGGAGGGAGGUGGGGGGGUCAGCCCCCCGCCCGGCCAGCCGCCCCGUCCGGGAGGGAGGUGGGGGGAUCAGUCCCCCACCCGGCCAGCCGCCCUGUCCGGGAGAUGAGGGGCGCCUCUGCCCGGCCGCCCCUACUGGGAAGUGAGGAGCCCUUC